RNAcentral lists this non-coding RNA (51 nucleotides) under Trypanosoma brucei brucei. The record is from RNAcentral. Lineage: Eukaryota; Euglenozoa; Kinetoplastea; Trypanosomatida; Trypanosomatidae.
UAAACAAAUAGUAAUAUGACAGAUGAAGCGUGUAUGAGAGUAAGUAAAAGU